This 838-nucleotide ribosomal RNA is filed under the name Candidatus Phytoplasma sacchari. Its description in RNAcentral is "bacterial SSU rRNA". It matches the Rfam family "Bacterial small subunit ribosomal RNA", at positions 189 to 1040 of the family's 1533-position model. The record is from RNAcentral. Lineage: Bacteria; Bacillati; Mycoplasmatota; Mollicutes; Acholeplasmatales; Acholeplasmataceae.
UACAGCAAUCGCUCCAAUUAGGUUAUGCUUAGGGAGGAGCUUGCGUCACAUUAGUUAGUUGGCAGGGUAAAGGCCUACCAAGACUAUGAUGUGUAGCUGGACUGAGAGGUUGAACAGCCACAUUGGGACUGAGACACGGCCCAAACUCCUACGGGAGGCAGCAGUAGGGAAUUUUCGGCAAUGGAGGAAACUCUGACCGAGCAACGCCGCGUGAACGAUGAAGUAUUUCGGUAUGUAAAGUUCUUUUAUUGAAGAAGAAAAAAUAGUGGAAAAACUAUCUUGACGAUAUUCAAUGAAUAAGCCCCGGCAAACUAUGUGCCAGCAGCCGCGGUAAUACAUAGGGGGCGAGCGUUAUCCGGAAUUAUUGGGCGUAAAGGGUGCGUAGGCGGUUUAAUAAGUCUAUAGUUUAAUUUCAGUGCUUAACACUGUCCUGCUAUAGAAACUAUUAGACUAGAGUGAGAUAGAGGCAAGUGGAAUUCCAUGUGUAGCGGUAAAAUGCGUAAAUAUAUGGAGGAACACCAGAGGCGUAGGCGGCUUGCUGGGUCUUUACUGACGCUGAGGCACGAAAGCGUGGGGAGCAAACAGGAUUAGAUACCCUGGUAGUCCACGCCGUAAACGAUGAGUACUAAGUGUCGGGAUUACUCGGUACUGAAGUUAACACAUUAAGUACUCCGCCUGAGUAGUACGUACGCAAGUAUGAAACUUAAAGGAAUUGACAGGGACUCCGCACAAGCGGUGGAUCAUGUUGUUUAAUUCGAAGAUACACGAAAACAUAACAGGUUUAGACAUACUCUGCAAAGCUGUAGAAACACAGUAGGAGGGGGGGGGGAUGCAGAAG